This 372-nucleotide small nuclear RNA is filed under the name Callithrix jacchus (white-tufted-ear marmoset). RNAcentral describes it as "7SK RNA". The stretch from base 1 to 196 matches the Rfam family "7SK RNA". Rfam says of the family: 7SK was discovered as an abundant small nuclear RNA in the mid-70s but a possible function has only recently been suggested. The record is from Rfam by way of RNAcentral. Lineage: Eukaryota; Metazoa; Chordata; Mammalia; Primates; Cebidae.
GGAUGUGAGGGCGAUCUGGCUGCAACAUCUGUCACCCCAUUGAUCGCCAGGUUUGAUUCGGCUGAUCUGGCUGGUUAGGCGGGUGUCCCUUCCUCCCUCACCGCUCCCAUGUGCGUCCCUCCUGAAGCUGUGCACUCGGUCAAAGAACAGUUACCUCAACAAAUUUUAAGUUUUGUCAAAAUGGUCCAUUUUAGAAAGGCUGCAUAUUUAGAUUAUAAAUCAGUGUGAAGAAAAGGUGUCUGUCUGGUUUAAAAGCAUUGAAGGACUAAGCAUUUGAUCUAAAUGUAUCUGGAGGAUGCAAGGUUAAACCUGUCUUAAUUAUUUUAAACUUAUACUCAAAAGACCUUUAAACUCUUGAAGCCGAACCUAUUU